This is a non-coding RNA of Rattus norvegicus (Norway rat), 2480 nucleotides long. Lineage: Eukaryota; Metazoa; Chordata; Mammalia; Rodentia; Muridae. The record is from RefSeq and is a predicted model, not a curated record.
UCCUGACACAGGGAAGGUUCCAUCACCACCAGGCUCAUGCACUUAGACCCCCCCAUGUCCUCCUGUUGUCCUUCCCAGAGCCCUUACCAAUUUACUUUUUAUAUAUAAGUAUACAUCAGAUCUCAUUACAGAUGCUUGUGAGCCACCAUAGGGUUGCUGGGAUUUGAACUCAGGACCUUUGGACGAGCAGUCAGUGCUCUUAACCACUGAGCCAUCUCUCCAGCCCGGUCAUGGGCAAUCUUGUAGAGCACUUAAGUAUGUUACAUUGAAUUAGAUCUUAACCUGUCUGAACUUCACCUUCUGUAUAAAAUGAGGUCAAGCCAUCCCCUCCUUUCUUAUGGACUCAAAUUGUUGAAUGGUCCCCAUGCAUCUUUAGCUGGCUUCGCUUAAUCAAUGAUGCCUGACAAGGGCAAGUGUUUUAUCUGAACUAUGUUAUGGGGAUAGACAGAUGGCUUAGCUGUUAAGAGCGCUUGUUGCAGAGGACCCAAGUUCAAUUCUCAGCACCCAUAUGAUGGCUCACAACAAACUUAAAUAUAGUCGCAGGGGAUCUGACCCCCUAGUGGGCACCAGACGUGCACAUGGUUCACAGACAUAUAUGUAGGAAAGAGAAACAUUCAUAUGCAUAAAAUUAAGUUAAAAAGGAACCCAUGUCAUCACAAAAUAAUUAUCCUGGUCUCCAUUUUACAAGUCAGAAAGUGUGCUUCAUGAAAACAAAGCAGCUUACUUCCAAAUAUUCAUGUGCUGUCUUUCUGCCUCUGCCUCCCAAGAGCUGACAUUACAGACACGUGCUACCAACUCCAUUACUACUUUCUUUAGAAAUGUUCAUUUUAUUUACUUAUUUGUUCUCUGUGUUUUGUAAACAGGGGUGAUGCUCACACCUUAUGCAUAUGCAUAAGAGUAUAUCAGAUCCCUCAGAACUGGCGGUAGCAAACAUUUUCGGGAUGCUUGCUACAGUGGUUUGAACGAGAAUGUCCCUCACAGGCUGUGCCACCUAAGUACUUGGUCCCCUGUUAGUGGCACGGCUGGGGGAGGAACAGAAGGUGUGGCCUUACUGGAGAAAGUAUGUAGCCGGGAGCUGGCCAUAUUGAGUUUGCUCAUUCUGUUUCCUGCUUAUGGUUCAAAAGGUGAGCUUUCAGCUGGUCCUGCCACCUUGGCUCAUGCCUAUUGUGGUGCUCCCCAAUAUAUGGUUUAUUAUGUGUGUACUAGGAACCAAACUCUGAUCUUACCAUUGUUCAGUAAGCAUCCUUAACUGCUGAGGCAUUAAGGGACAGCUGACUUUGUUUUUCUUUUUAGUUAAACAACGACUUUCAUCGUGUCCUUAUCGAGAAGUCAACUUGGUUUUGCUUGUUUGUUUUUUUAUUUGUUCUUCCUCAAUAAUCUUGUGAAUUGUGCAUUAUAAAUUGUUUCCACUGCUCCAAGAGUUGACUGACCCUAAAACGUUGCCUAGUAUGUUAACUGUCUGACCAUAAACCUAUACAACAUGUACCUUUCCCAUGAUCAUAAAAAUAACUACGAAAUUCUACUUCUGUAGACGCUUGUUAUACAAGGGUCCUCUCGCUUCUGAUCUAGGCUGAUUCAUUCUCCCACCGAGGAAGACUGUAAGUUUAGCCUGGCUGUAAAUAAGAUUUUUACCUUGCAAUGUCUUGGUGUUAGCUCCUGGUUUUCGACAACAUAACAGUAUCUUUCCGGCCCUUCAAUCAUCACUUUUUUUCUUUUUUUUUUUUCUUUUUUUCGGAGCUGAGGACCGAACCCAGGGCCUUGCACUUACUAGGCAAGCAUUCUACUGAGCUAAAUCCCCAACCCCAAUCAUCGCUUUUUUUAUAGUUCAUUUAUAGACCAAGUCAGAGCUACAUUUUAAACUAAUGACUAUCCCUAAUGUAACCCUUAUCAAAUUCAUAGGUGAGUAGAGAAACCCAUCCUUUGGCAGAUGUCCUCCAGACCUGCUAGUUUUCUUUGAGGUUAAUGCUGCUCUCUGCCUUGGCCAAGGAAGCUUCUGUUUGCAAUAGGCGAUGAUUAAUGUAGACACUGAACGCUGGAUAAAGUACUGGCAAUAAGUGACUAUGGAGUGCUCAACCCUAAACAGGACAUCUAUUUUGGCUCCUUCAAGGCUUGAGGAACAUCAUGGAAGAUAGCCCACAUGCCAGCUGUGCUGGCUGGUUUUGUGUGUCAACUUGACACAAGUUAGAGUCAUCUGAGAGGAAGGAGUCUCAGAUGAGGAACUGCUUCCAUGAGAUCCAUGAGAUCAGUCAUUUUCUCAGUUAGUGAUCAAUGGGGGAGGUCCCAGUCCAUGAUGGGUGGUGCCAUCCCUGGGCUGGUGGUCCUGGGUUCUAUAAGAAAGCAGGCUGAGCAAACCACGGGAAGCAAGCCAGUAAGCAGCGUUCCUCCGUGGACUCUGAAUCAGCUCCUGUCUCCACGUUCCUGCCCUUUGGUGGUGAACAGCAAUGUAGAAAUACAAGCUGAAUAAACCCUUUUCUUCCCAA